This 1239-nucleotide long non-coding RNA is filed under the name Numida meleagris (helmeted guineafowl). RNAcentral's name for it is "lncRNA (ENSNMEG00000002083.1)". Lineage: Eukaryota; Metazoa; Chordata; Aves; Galliformes; Numididae. The record is from RNAcentral.
UAGGCAACAAUGGCUCUUUGUUUCCUUUGAAAGCAGAAAAAAGACAGCGUUUUGUUUGCCUCCUGAGCUCACCUGUCUUUUUAUGCUGUCAGAAGUUUCGGAAGCUCAGCCAUCCUCUUGGUUAGAAGUCUCCAUUUCGUUCUUUCCUUCUUUUAGUACGGAUUCCUUUUUGAUUACUCAGAGCUUCUUAUAAAGCUGUCUCUGGAGCCUUCUCAGUCCGGGUUCAAAAUGUGGUCACUUACUCUUUGAAGCACAAAACACAAGUCAAAAGAGCUAAUUUUUCUGUUCUGCAGUCAUGACCACACCACUAACCAAAACAGUCAAAUGUAAGUUCUUACUAAAAAUGAUUGAGAAAAUCUUUCAAUCUUUCCUCACUGUUGAUUUUGUUAAUUCACUGGGUUCCUGAAACCCAGUUAAGUCUUCAGAUGUAAAAACUGGAUAUAUGUGACAUGGAGCACGUCUCACUUAAACUAUUAGCCAGGUAGUUGUGAGUGAAUAUAUACAUUGAUAUAUUUUUGCACCUCUCAUUCUUUUGGACUUCACCCCUCUGCACAGAGAUGUAUAUCUAGAGGAAGAUAGAUUCUCUUUUGGAUUAAGGUGUAUCAGUAACUUGUCACUUCACCCUACUGAUUAACUGUUCAGUAUCUGUAGACACGAAAUGAUCCACAUUCUCCUGCCAGCAGCUAUCUUGGAAUCAAGUCACAGAAGUCUUCAUCGCAGCCUUGUUCUCAGCAGCGCUGUAUUCCUAUGCUGUCGUCACAAUGUAGCUGCCAUCUACGCUAUUGGCCUCUUGCAUCAGAGCUGCAAAAUGGAGGCUUGAGGAAGAAAAAGAAGAUGUAAUUGUCAGGAGAAAGAGAAAUGGGCUGGGUCUCUCUUGUCAUCUCUUGUUGUAAGACAAGACCUGUCCAAAGAGACAGGAAGAGAUAAUCAGACUGAGCUAAUGGAAUAUUGUUACCAUCAAGUACCACACCAAAAACUGGAGGGAUGGGAGAAGGCAAAUGCUCUUCUUAUUAGUGGAAAUGAGAAUCUCAGCCCGGAAUCCAUUAAGCCACCUUGGAUGAAACAGGAAGAAUCUAACACAGCAAGACUUCAAGACUGUCUCCAUGACUUGGUGUUUGCAUGUACUGCUGUGAUUGUGUCAGAGGAGGCACUACAGCUUACUUGACAGAUCAGUGCCCUGGGAUACAGGUUUUAUUCUCAGCUUUGGAUAGCCAUGUGAACUCAAGCAAAACAUUUUCC